Molecule: ribosomal RNA, 482 nt
Filed under: uncultured bacterium
Lineage: Bacteria
Description: partial 16S ribosomal RNA
Rfam family: Bacterial small subunit ribosomal RNA
Source: RNAcentral
UUGAACGCUGGCGGCAGGCCUAACACAUGCAAGUCGAGCGGAUGAGUGGAGCUUGCUCCCUGAUUCAGCGGCGGACGGGUGAGUAAUGCCUAGGAAUCUGCCUGGUAGUGGGGGACAACGUUUCGAAAGGAACGCUAAUACCGCAUACGUCCUACGGGAGAAAGUGGGGGAUCUUCGGACCUCACGCUAUCAGAUGAGCCUAGGUCGGAUUAGCUAGUUGGUGAGGUAAAGGCUCACCAAGGCGACGAUCCGUAACUGGUCUGGGAGGAUGAUCAGUCACCUGGAACGGGAGACCCGGUCGAAACCCCAACGGGGGCCAGAGUCGGGAAGUAUGGGAAAGUGGCGGAAGCCUGGUCCAGGCCAGCCGCCGGUGUGAAGGAGGUCUUCGGAUUUUUAAGCACUUUAAGUUGGGAGGAAGGGCAGUAAGUUAAUACCUUGCUGUUUUGACGUUACCAACAGAAUAAGCACCGGCUAACUUCGUG